UACGGAGGGGUUAGCGUUGUUCGGAAUUACUGGGCGUAAAGCGUACGUAGGCGGAUCAGAAAGUUGGGGUGAACCCCGGGCUCAACCCCGGAACUGCCUCCAAAACUCCUGGUCUUGAGUUCGAGAGAGGUGAGUGGAAUUCCGAGUGUAGAGGUGAAAUUCGUAGAUAUUCGGAGGAACACCAGUGGCGAAGGCGGCUCACUGGCUCGAUACUGACGCUGAGGUACGAAAGUGUGGGGAGCAAACAGGAUUAGAUACCCGGUAGUC
Molecule: ribosomal RNA, 267 nt
Filed under: uncultured bacterium
Lineage: Bacteria
Description: partial 16S ribosomal RNA
Rfam family: Bacterial small subunit ribosomal RNA
Source: RNAcentral